GACCUGGUCGGGCGGUCCGCCUAACGGUGUGUACUGUCUGACUGGGCCUUACCUCUUGGUGAGCCGGCGUGCGCUUUAUUGUGUGCGUCGGGGAACCAGGACUUUUACCUUGAAAAAAUUAGAGUGUUUAAAGCAGGCAUUUUGCUUGAAUACAUUAGCAUGGAAUAAUAAAAUAGGACG
This 180-nucleotide ribosomal RNA is filed under the name uncultured Glomeromycotina. RNAcentral describes it as "partial small subunit ribosomal RNA". The stretch from base 91 to 180 matches the Rfam family "Eukaryotic small subunit ribosomal RNA", at positions 738 to 829 of the family's 1831-position model. The record is from RNAcentral. Lineage: Eukaryota; Fungi; Glomeromycota.